AGUUUGAUCCGUGGACUCAGGACAACGGCUGGCGGCGUGCCUAACACAUGCAAGUCGAACGGAGCUGUUUUGGACGGAGACUUCGGUCAAAGACCAUAACAGCUUAGUGGCGGACGGGUGAGUAACGCGUGAGUAACCUGCCGUUCAGAGGGGGACAACAGUUGGAAACGACUGCUAAUACCGCAUAAUGUAUAUAGGAGGCAUCUUCUGUAUACCAAAGGAGCAAUCCGCUGAAAGAUGGCCUCGCGUCUGAUUAGCUAGUUGGUGAGGUAACGGCCCACCAAGGCGACGAUCAGUAGCCGGACUGAGAGGUUGAACGGCCACAUUGGGACUGAGAUACGGCCCAGACUCCUACGGGAGGCAGCAGUGGGGAAUAUUGGGCAAUGGGCGCAAGCCUGACCCAGCAACGCCGCGUGAAGGAAGAAGGCUUUCGGGUUGUAAACUUCUUUUGUCAGGGACGAGUAGAAGACGGUACCUGACGAAUAAGCCACGGCUAACUACGUG
This 504-nucleotide ribosomal RNA is filed under the name uncultured bacterium. RNAcentral describes it as "bacterial SSU rRNA". It matches the Rfam family "Bacterial small subunit ribosomal RNA", at positions 10 to 507 of the family's 1533-position model. The record is from RNAcentral.